Molecule: transfer RNA, 66 nt
Filed under: Dardanus aspersus
Lineage: Eukaryota; Metazoa; Arthropoda; Malacostraca; Decapoda; Diogenidae
Description: tRNA-Arg
Source: RNAcentral
AGUUAGAAAGCGAAUUAUUGCACUUAGUUUCGGCCUAAGAUUUGGUCUUAAAAAGAUCUCUAAUUU